This is a small nuclear RNA of Nannospalax galili (Upper Galilee mountains blind mole rat), 104 nucleotides long. NCBI's taxonomy places the organism in Eukaryota, Metazoa, Chordata, Mammalia, Rodentia, Spalacidae. The record is from Ensembl.
GCGCUGUCUUCAACAGCACAUACAUGAUAACUGGAACCAUACAGAGAUUAGCAUGGUCCAGAAGUAAGGAUGACACACAAAUUUAUGAGGUCUUCUAUAUUUUG